AUAACUUCGGUAGGUGAGGCUACCGUAGGGAUAUGGAUUGUUACCGCGAAAUAGUGGAGACACUAUGAGUUGGUCAGCAGGAGAUGUCGAAACCAAGGCAUAACCUAACACAAUUUCACCGCCCUACGAUGCUAAAGCUUGAACGAUGAGA
Molecule: small RNA, 151 nt
Filed under: uncultured Niameybacter sp.
Lineage: Bacteria; Bacillati; Bacillota; Clostridia; Lachnospirales; Lachnospiraceae
Description: M-box riboswitch (ykoK leader)
Rfam family: M-box riboswitch aptamer (ykoK leader)
About the family: M-box riboswitch, also know as ykoK leader is described as a metaloregulatory RNA that sense divalent metals and function as a genetic control element of genes related to divalent metal transport in bacteria. It was first reported upstream of the B.subtilis ykoK gene and genes with related functions in other bacteria.
Source: RNAcentral